This 627-nucleotide ribosomal RNA is filed under the name Russula sp. RNAcentral's name for it is "partial large subunit ribosomal RNA". It matches the Rfam family "Eukaryotic large subunit ribosomal RNA", at positions 98 to 701 of the family's 3401-position model. The record is from RNAcentral. Lineage: Eukaryota; Fungi; Basidiomycota; Agaricomycetes; Russulales; Russulaceae.
GCGGGAAAAGCUCAAAUUUAAAAUCUGGUGGCCUUUGGUCAUCCGAGUUGUAAUUUAGAGAAGCGUCUUCCGCGCUGGACCGUGCACAAGUCUCCUGGAAUGGAGCGUCGUAGAGGGUGAGAAUCCCGUCUUUGGCACGGACUCCCAGUGCUUCUGUGAUGCGCUCUCGAAGAGUCGAGUUGUUUGGGAAUGCAGCUCAAAAUGGGUGGUGAACUCCAUCUAAAGCUAAAUAUUGGCGAGAGACCGAUAGCGAACAAGUACCGUGAGGGAAAGAUGAAAAGCACUUUGGAAAGAGAGUGAAACAGUACGUGAAAUUGUUGAAAGGGAAACGCUUGAAGUCAGUCGCGUCGUCCGAGACUCAGCCUCGCCUCGGCUUGGUGUACUUCUCGGCCGACGGGUCAGCAUCAAUUUUGCCCCUUGGAUAAUGGCGAGGGAAAUGUGACACCUUUGCGGGUGUGUUAUAGUCUCUAGUCGCAUGCAAGGGUCGGGAUUGAGGAACUCAGCACGCGCCUUCGGGCGUCGGGGUUCGCCCACGAUACGUGCUUAGGAUGUUGGCGUAAUGGCUUUAAACGACCCGUCUUGAAACACGGACCAAGGAGUCUAACAUGCCCGCGAGUGUUCGGGUGG